UCCGGUUUAGCGGUAUUUGCUCGAUGCACUCACCUACUGUCCACCUAACCACGGGAGAGAAACAUUUUGAAUGGAGUUAACGGAACGUACGGCGUGUGCCAAGCAGGGCAACCCGAUGCGUAGGAAUCAGCCGGGUUCGGUAUGGCUUAUAAAACGAUGUUGUGACGUAGCCUAAGCCGUAGGAUGUUCCAAAGGCAAAGAAAGCUCAUUCUAGUUACGAUAAGGACAGUAAAUAGUACUGUUCACCCGUAUAGUAUUAUUGCAUUGUACCUAAUAUUUCAACCCAUUAGACAUGACAUGUAUAAAAUAAACAGAUGUAAUGAUUUUGUUAUCUAUUUUCGCCAACCCAACCCAUUAUCAGAAAUUUCCUAAUAUUCCCAAUUGGUUCUUAUCAAACGAUAGCCUGAUAGACAGUUAACAUUAAUGCUCUAGACAAUGGCUUUAUUUGAUAAGGGUCUAUAAAGAGUUAUCUGAAUACACACCGUCUAUAUAUGCCAUGUCAGUAAAAGUUAUAUAUUUCUUCUUGUUAGGGAAAGUAUGAUUGAUGUGUGGUAGUAUAUUACAAGUAGGUGUUUUUUUUUUUCGUGAUAUCUGUUACUAGCCUGUCGUCAGUCGUAUAAACAAUGCCAUCUUUAUUAACCCGUUUGUCUGUUACCGAUGACCGAUAAGCCGUAAGAACGAUAAAGUUUCAUGAUUCGCUGAUUUCAAGAGCCCUGUAUUUGUCACACCUUUCGUUGUCAUUUUUUUCCUCGUGCUAAAAGUGCUUGGAAAUAUUUUAUUUUAAUUUGUAAAUCUGUAAAAUCUUUGACUAGCAGAAAAACCGACGAGAUAUGACUUUUACCAAAUAUGUUUUCGUCUUUAUUUGUUACAUAGACGACGCCCGUCGACUACAGUUUAGAAUCUUCAUAACUUUUCAAUUUUGCAAGUAAUCGCAUUUAAACUUCGCAAAUUUCCUAGAUGCACCGAUUUAGUCUCUUUUUUUUUUAUUUUUAUGCAAUUCUAGCAUGAUUAAUGUGUUUACUCGAAGAUCCAGGGCAUGCGUGCUAUGAAGUGUUCGCACCGUAUGCAGUUAUGAGGGAUGGUGUGAACUAGGCGAUUGUCGUGUGUCUUAUAUCGACUAUCAAGAUUAUGUCAGCGUACAUCGCUCAUAUCGAUACUACAUUUGUCGUGUUAAUAACAAAGUAUGUUAAUCCAUAUUCGUAUACAUAGCAUUGGUUUACUAAUACACCCGCGUUUCACAUGCAAGUUGCCAAUUAUGAAGUGAAACACAAUAGUGUUGGAGAAAAGGUGCAAGCGCAUUCUUAUGGAUAUAGCCUUGAAAACAUACAGCGUCUAAAAUUACUUACAUCUUGAAUAUUUCAUGACUCUAGCCUUAGAAUCAAUCAAACCUGCGUUGUUUUUAAAACCUCGGUUCGUACAAAUCAAUUGUAAAAUUCCUGUGUAAAACUCCGACAAACUAUUUUCAGCAGUUUUCGUGAGGAGUGUUUAAGGGGACGGUGAGGCGGCGCUCGCGUGGGCUUGCUCUACAUAAUUACAAUGUCGUCGUACCUUAUCCCUGAUGAAUCGAUGCACAGCAUGGACUCAUACCAAAAUAUCGAACCUGAAAAUAAUAAUAACCUACUUUAACUAAGGCUUCAGUGAUUCACCAUCCAAGACUACCAUAAUCAAAUAACAUGUUCAUGCUUCUCAAAAAUAUCCUUUAGCCCUAAUUCUCUUCUCCAAAUUGUUGAAUGUUUUUGGAAGGUCUCUACUGUAGUUUUCACACACUAAAACAGCUCUUCGUCAUAACCAGAAAUGUAACUUCUAUGCAUCAUCUUUUAAUCAAAAUGAUCUUUCAUCUUUGCUCAGCAGAAACAAAUAAAAUCAUACAUGCCCCUAGCAGGCUUCGCCCACUUGCACACAAUUAACAAAAUCCGCCAAGUUAACAAUAAAUCGCAACAAGGACUCUUUAUAAUUACUUUAAAGCUCGCAAUAGAAUUUCUCAGUGAAAUUCGAUUAGCAAAACCCAUAGCACGAACCAUAGCGUUUGGCAGCAAAGCGCGAAAAACGCUUCACGGUGCGAAUUUGCAACUAUCUAGUUCAGGAAUAAAAGAAAGGAAGGGUAUAGUUUGAAGGUAGCGUGUAGAGGGCGUAGUAGCCGUGACAUCAUGCUAGCAGUACCUGCUCCUUGUUGGCAGGUAACUUAUCAAACCUCAAAUAAACACUACCAGGCUUCCAGCCGAACUCGCUGGCUCUACUCACCGGAGUGUAUCGAAUGUGAAUAUCGAAGUGUUACAUACUCCAGGUCAUGGUUCCCUAUCUUGUGUUAGACGGUGGGAGCGUUGUAGAUCGUUUUUCGCAUUCAAAACGGACUUUUCUCUCGUUGCGCGAAUUUGAGACAUAAGGCAUAAAUCAUUAAUUGAGAAAAGGCGCUUAGAUAUGUGUACCCACUCCCCAAGAUGGGUUUUAGUCACGCGGUGGUUUACUAUCGCUUAGUACUGGGUCGAGCGACGUUUUUGAUUUGGGAUUUAUGUGAUUUCCGAUUAUAAGGUUAGUAGAUACAGUAGAACCAUUUUUUUUUUUUCGGGAACCCAACAAUACAAUUGAUUACACAAUAUAGAAACAAAUAAUUUGUUUUGAAACGUACACUUGAUCUUAAAGGAAAAAAAACAAUACAAACAUUACAAAUAUCGAUUUUCAAAGAUGCAAAUAUUCAGUUUACCAUACUGUUGAUCAUUAAACCAUAGAACCAACAUCUCUCUGUUGUCUAUAAUAGCCUCCAUUCAGCUCCAAAAUUGUUUACACCUAGUUUGAAAAUCGCCCGUUCGACUCGAAAGCAAUUUCAUACUUGAACUCAAAAGCUUUCGUUUCACAUGUUCCACAAGUUUGUAAAAUUAAUAUUAAUUUCAAUAUUACAAAAUUUAAGUUUUGUUCCCUAGAUUGGGAGCCCUGUGUUACAACAGCUCUACCGCCAUCUUGGAUUACGUGAGCUAUCGGUAGAUAGCGACUUUUCGGGUCCUCCCGACAUCUCCUAACUUCAUCUGUGAAACCCGCGGAUGAAUCCAUCGACAGUUGCAUGAGCCGAGUUUAUGUACGCAGUACGGAUUAUUUAUAUGGGGAACUGAGCUUCUAGGAACGGACCACAAGACUCUUCGCGCGCGCGGCCAAUCAAUCGUAUCGCACGAAACCUCCGAGAUCAACCGCGAAUUAGAACGGUGUUUUUAAUCCAUAGAAAUCCAAACCAUCUUAGCAUUGUAAACUUUUCUUUCAUCUUUUAAGUAAUAGUUAUCAUUUUUUGUAUAUCUCUGGACAUAAAGUGUCGAGCAAAGUUGAAAGCUGGACGGAUUCUCAAGGCGUUUUUGUCUUGUAAUGGCCGAGUCAAAUGCUCGAGAGAAGCGACCUCUUAAAAAGAGAGGCGGGCGACCGAAAAGACCAGAAAAAAUCAAAACUAUUUAUCUAAGAGAAUCUGUCAGAGAACUCUGGAGAGCACGUAAGACUUCGAAGGGCUUAGAACGACUGACCGACAGCGAGUUUGCCGAAGUUUUACUCAACCAAUGUCCAAGUCAAGUGGAUAAGAUCGACUUUAGACUUCAACAUCCAACGAUCCAACUUCACCAGACAGUUUUGCAUUCCUGGAGGACUAUCAGGGACUCAGGGCCUUUUUCAAGCGACACUUCUCUGGCGGCCUAUCUGUUGAGCCUCGAGUUGAAACGAAGAGAGCAGCUUGGAUACCACUCAAUCAAGAGAUGAUGUCAGUGUUGACAUAAACGAUUUAUCAGACCCUGCUGUGAUUGUAACAACAACAAAAGGACAAGACACUAAUCUUGCUAAACAAGUACUAAAAGCAGAAGGAGACAGUGGAAGUGCGAGUGAGGAUGAGCUAGUUGAUGUAGAUGACACAGUAAUGCCUAGGGUAUCUAGUGAUGGUAAAGACAAGCUUAUUGAUGUAGAUGAUACAACUGGUGCCUCCAGUGAGAGUGAAGGAGACAGUGAAAAUAUGUUUGUCAACAUAGAUGUUUGAACUUAGCUACAGCAUCAUCUGGAAGGCUUACAGAAACAAACUGUAGCCAUUUUUUUCACUGAGUGAGGCAAGCUAGUUGAUGUGGGUGAUACAACUGGUGCCUCUAGUAAGAGUGAAGGAGACAGUGAAAAUGAGUUUGUCAACAUAGAUGUUUGAACUUAGCUACAGCAUCAUCUGGGAGGCUUACAGAAACAAACUGAGUGCUACUGAGUGAAGCAAGCUAGUUGAUGUGGGUGAUAAAGUAUUUUUCUAGUGAGAUGUUUGAACCUAGCCCCGAUUACAACAAGAGGGUUUUUAAGAGCAAACUUUGCCCUCUUCACCCCACUAAGUGAACAAAAAAAUAGUUGAUGUAAAUAUUAAAUGUGUAUUACCCGCCUGCUAUAGUAAGGGUGAUGGACAGAGUGAACAAGAGUUUGUCAACCUAGAUGGAUUCCACAGUCACAACAAAAGACAAACUAUUCCCAUUUUACCCCCACCCACAUACCCCAAUGAAUAAAGAUGAGCUAGGUGGCCCUGUAGUGAGUAAUUAGGAAAGUGAACAGGAUUUAAUCAAAACAGAUAUUUGGACCUAGUCAUGAUAGUAACAAGUGGACAGCCUAAAAUACUGGUGAUAGCCUUUAAGUAUGGACCUUCAAGAAGCUACUGUAUUUAGACUAAAAUACUGGUGAUAGCCUUUAAGUAUGGACCUUCAAGAAGCUACUGUAUUUAGACUAAAAUACUGGUGAUAGCCUUUAAGUAUGGACCUUCAAGAAGCUACUGUAUUUAGACUAAAAUACUGGUGAUAGCCUUUAAGUAUGGACCUUCAAGAAGCUACUGUAUUUAGACUAAAAUACUGGCGAUAGCCUUUAAGUAUGGACCUUCAAGAAGCUACUGUAUUUAGACUAAAAAGAAAAACUUAGGUUUUAAUACACAGUUUAAAACUGUAGCAGAUUGUGUUCAGAAGUCAAGGAAACACCCUUUUUAUUUCAAAAUGCCAUGUUAUAAUGACUCCAAUACAGGCAUGUCAGCUACCCACCUAUACGUGAAACAAAGGUCAGAAAUGAUGGAGUUGGAAAUUCUUAUAUAAUCAGAGCAGUUAUAACAAAACAUGUGGUUCUCCAAUGUAAAUAAGAGUUGAAUUUUGCUGUGUGAAGAUGUUUAGCAUCUUGGAAUGGC
Nematostella vectensis (starlet sea anemone) is the source of this 5155-nucleotide RNA transcript. RefSeq lists it as uncharacterized. NCBI's taxonomy places the organism in Eukaryota, Metazoa, Cnidaria, Anthozoa, Actiniaria, Edwardsiidae. The record is from RefSeq and is a predicted model, not a curated record. The transcript is spliced from 4 exons.